Molecule: ribosomal RNA, 566 nt
Filed under: uncultured bacterium
Lineage: Bacteria
Description: partial 16S ribosomal RNA
Rfam family: Bacterial small subunit ribosomal RNA
Source: RNAcentral
UGGGGAAUUUUGGACAAUGGGGGAAACCCUGAUCCAGCCAUCCCGCGUGUGCGAUGAAGGCCUUCGGGUUGUAAAGCACUUUUGGCAGGAAAGAAACGUCGCGGGUUAAUACCCCGCGAAACUGACGGUACCUGCAGAGUAAGCACCGGCUAACUACGUGCCAGCAGCCGCGGUAAUACGUAGGGUGCAAGCGUUAAUCGGAAUUACUGGGCGUAAAGCGUGCGCAGGCGGUUCGGAAAGAAAGAUGUGAAAUCCCAGAGCUUAACUUUGGAACUGCAUUUUUAACUACCGGGCUAGAGUGUGUCAGAGGGAGGUGGAAUUCCGCGUGUAGCAGUGAAAUGCGUAGAUAUGCGGAGGAACACCGAUGGCGAAGGCAGCCUCCUGGGAUAACACUGACGCUCAUGCACGAAAGCGUGGGGAGCAAACAGGAUUAGAUACCCUGGUAGUCCACGCCCUAAACGAUGUCAACUAGCUGUUGGGGCCUUCGGGCCUUGGUAGCGCAGCUAACGCGUGAAGUUGACCGCCUGGGGAGUACGGUCGCAAGAUUAAAACUCAAAGGAAUUGAC